Molecule: transfer RNA, 66 nt
Filed under: Onymocoris hackeri
Lineage: Eukaryota; Metazoa; Arthropoda; Insecta; Hemiptera; Thaumastocoridae
Description: tRNA-Ser
Source: RNAcentral
AAGAGAUCAAGCAAGAAAGAAGCUGCUAACUAUCUUUUCAGGUGGUUAAAUUCCAUCAAUCUCUUA